RNAcentral lists this ribosomal RNA (254 nucleotides) under uncultured bacterium. RNAcentral describes it as "partial 16S ribosomal RNA". It matches the Rfam family "Bacterial small subunit ribosomal RNA", at positions 524 to 776 of the family's 1533-position model. The record is from RNAcentral.
UACGGGGGGAGCAAGCGUUGUUCGGAUUUACUGGGCGUAAAGGGCGCGUAGGCGGCCACCGCAAGUCGACUGUGAAAUCUCCGGGCUUAACCCGGAAAGGUCAGCCGAUACUGCGGGGCUAGAGUGCAGAAGGGGCAACUGGAAUUCUCGGUGUAGCGGUGAAAUGCGUAGAUAUCGGGAGGAACACCGGUGGCGAAGGCGGCGACCUGGUUCGAUACUGACACUGAGGUGCGAAAGCGUGGGGAGCAAACAGG